This 23-nucleotide microRNA is filed under the name Caenorhabditis elegans. RNAcentral describes it as "cel-miR-4938". Lineage: Eukaryota; Metazoa; Nematoda; Chromadorea; Rhabditida; Rhabditidae. The record is from miRBase by way of RNAcentral.
AUCAUCAUGCAUCAUCAGCAUGC